ACGCUCGACACCUACGGGGGCAGCAGUGGGGAAUAUUGCACAAUGGGGGAAACCCUGAUGCAGCGACGCCGCGUGGAGGAAGAAGGUCUUCGGAUUGUAAACUCCUGUUGUUGGGGAAAAAGAGGAUGGUACCCAACAAGGAAGUGACGGCUAACUACGUACCACGCAGCCGCCGGUAAUACUGAGCGGGCGUGGCGAAGGACG
Molecule: ribosomal RNA, 204 nt
Filed under: uncultured bacterium
Lineage: Bacteria
Description: partial 16S ribosomal RNA
Rfam family: Bacterial small subunit ribosomal RNA
Source: RNAcentral